RNAcentral lists this ribosomal RNA (326 nucleotides) under uncultured bacterium. RNAcentral describes it as "bacterial SSU rRNA". It matches the Rfam family "Bacterial small subunit ribosomal RNA", at positions 28 to 355 of the family's 1533-position model. The record is from RNAcentral.
GACGAACGCUGGCGGCGUGCUUAACACAUGCAAGUCGAGCGGUAAGGCCCUUUCGGGGGUACACGAGCGGCGAACGGGUGAGUAACACGUGGGUGACCUGCCCUCAGCUCUGGGAUAAGCCUGGGAAACUGGGUCUAAUACUGGAUAUGACUCCACGGUGCAUGUCGUGGGGUGGAAAGCCUCGUGCGGCUGAGGAUGGGCCCGCGGCCUAUCAGCUUGUUGGUGGGGUGANGGCCUACCAAGGCGACGACGGGUAGCCGGCCUGAGAGGGCGACCGGCCACACUGGGACUGAGACACGGCCCAGACUCCUACGGGAGGCAGCAGU